RNAcentral lists this ribosomal RNA (31 nucleotides) under Zornia sericea. RNAcentral describes it as "partial large subunit ribosomal RNA". The record is from RNAcentral. Lineage: Eukaryota; Viridiplantae; Streptophyta; Magnoliopsida; Fabales; Fabaceae.
GCGACCUCAGGUCAGGCGGGGCUACCCGCUG